CAGCUGUAACUGAGCUACUGUGCUAGCUACAUGUACAUGUAGUUCUGCUGCGGCAUAUUUCUUCUGAAUGCGGCUGAAGUCAAUCUGGACUCAACCAAUAUUUCCACAUAUCUAGACUGCACAAUACCCCUUCUCAAGCAUCCAGAGGCCUUCGCACCAGUCGGCUCUAUACUCUGAGAAGGGAACGGCCAAUUUAUUCACCAGUCCGGGUGGAUUGAUGGAGGUGUUUAUGUCCAGAGCGUGAAAGUGGUAAGGACAAGAGCAAGAAAGAGGAAUCCUUUGUCGACUCAACUAUCGGCUAUCAGGAUGGUCAAAUUCUAAUGACAUUCAUUCAGGGAGUGCAUCGCAAAGUGAUUUUGGUUCUUAGUGAUUUUUAUGAGGUCAGCUGAUUGCCUACUACAGUGAAAGGAAGUGACUAAUUGGACAACCAGCUAGAAUUGGGACUUCAACACUAAAAGCCUGCCAAUUGUGUUAUUGCAUCUCAAAUCAAGAAAACCUUGUCCAGUUGACGGUUGAGGGAUUGCAAUAGAACAAUAUAGUAGACUCUGAUGAGAUGUGUGACUCUUGUUGUACUCUGGAAUAUAUUCUAACCUGGAUGUUUGAAUGAAGGACACUGUUGUGCAUCGAUUCAAAUUGGAUUCAGUUCUGGAGAUGUACAAACUGUGCAUCUAGAAAGUGACCCUGCGUAUGCUGUUACUGAACCACAGAUAAACUUGGUUUCAAAGGAUUUGCUGAACUGUACGUUGCAAAGUGAGUGUGAAGGAGAACACACAUUUAAAAAAAACUGAUAAAGUCUGAUCUUCCAUGAAGCUACUGAUAAACUGACAAAUUUGAUCUUCCACGAGACAAGGAUAAACUGAUAAAAUCUGAUCUUCCACAAAGAUACUUCAAGGUGCAUGCAAGCCUGCUUCAUCGGGUAAACAAAGUCAGUAAGUUACAAGAGGUCAGGAUUUCAGUGACCCCUCUACACUGACACAGUUUGGAUGCAAGAUGGCAGCAGAGAGCGUAGAAGUGGAUCACUUUGAGGAGGGCACAUCAAAGGUGAGUGCAGAGAACGUAUUUGAUUGCUUUGAGGGCAAGUCCAAGAGUCCAUUUUGUUCCAUACGUUGUUACCGAAUGCAUCCUAGAUGUGUGUGUAUCUGACAAUUGUUGUCAGUUUCAUGAUAGCCCUACUACUUGUAGACCUUUGAUCAAACAAAAUACAAAGCAAAAUGACACAUUUGAUUUCAGUUUAUUUACAGAAUUACACAAUACUUGAUAAUGAUAAUGUAUGGGACACCAAUUACUUUGAACUUGCCCUUGGACAAAUGUAAAAAUUGUUUUUAACCAAAUCUCUUUUACUUUUUAUAAAUGUUAGGCUUCCUGGGAGAAGUUACAGUUGUUAUCAAAAAAAUCUUUUGGCUUGCACCCAGUAGAUGAAGAUUGCGUGCUUGAUCUUGUAUUUGAGAACAAGUCAG
This is a long non-coding RNA of Strongylocentrotus purpuratus (purple sea urchin), 1457 nucleotides long. RefSeq lists it as uncharacterized. The record is from RefSeq and is a predicted model, not a curated record. Lineage: Eukaryota; Metazoa; Echinodermata; Echinoidea; Camarodonta; Strongylocentrotidae. The transcript is spliced from 3 exons.